AGGUGUCUCAGCUCCUCAUCUAGUGUUACAUUAUGCAGCAAAAUGCAGGUCUUGGGUCUCUUCUCCUGAAGCUUUCUUGCUGCACUCCAGGGGAACUACCUUGUUUCUGAACAUCCUUGUUUUGAAACUAAUCUUCCCCUGGCCUCCUUGAGGUCUUUGUGCAAUUAGGCAUGGGAACCAAGUUAAGGAUGUAGUAACUACUGUCCUGAGUACUUUUACCAAUGGUUUGCAUCUUUGCUCUGCCAGUGGCAGAGCAACGAGGGGCUUAACUCUUCAUAUAAAUCCAUUCUGAGGUAGGGACUCCACUGUUGGAAAAUGAAACAAGGUUAGAGUAUAGACAGUUAGAACAACUUUUUUACAGCAAAGUCCCAUUUAGUAGUGCCUCUGAAUUGCAAACAGCUCCAUUCCUUUCUGAAAAUUAUGAUACGUUUCCCUCAGCAGCAAUAACCACUUCUAGCAAAUUUAAUUCCUCCUGCAUAUCUUCAGUGAUUCACACUUUUGUCUCACUGUAGCUUGCUGUGAGCACUGCUUUUCCUCUUAAAACCAAGUUCUGUGUCUGUGGUUCUUGUGACCCUCAUUCCUUGAGGAGGAUCAUUAUCUAAGAAUGAGGUAUAGUCCUUUAGUCUAGUCCUCGAGUCCCACUGGCUUUCUGAAGCAGACAGAGUGGAGUAGGUCCACUCAAAACAUUGUGUAUAAAUCAGUCCAUUCUCUCCAGUGCUGAGGAUAAGUUAUAAACAGUACAGAAUGGUGGGGAAACUGAGUAAAUUAAAAUUAGUCUCACAAAGUCCAAAAUAUAAAUAAAGUCUCAGCGUUGCAAAACCUUAUUCUGUUGUCUAUUAAACUGUGCUUCAAAAAUCAGAGAAUGUUUGAGAUUGGAAGGGACCUCUGGAGGUCAUGUGGUCCAACCUCCCUGUUCAAGCAGAGUCACAACAGCCGGUUGCCCAGGACCAUGUCCAGAUGCCUUUUGAAUAUCUCCAGGGAAAGAGACUCCUCAACACAAAUGUAUAAAACUAUGUAUUGUGACAGUUUGGGAAACUAACUUUUUUUUUUAAAUGGGCAGUUUUUUAUUUGCUUUUCAUUACAGCUGAUGCUAUAGUCAAACUGCAAACUGAUGCUAAGGGUGUGCAAUAGGAUUUUCACUGUUCUAUAUAAGGUUUGCCUGAUGUGUUUCCUGGGCCUGAGGGAAUAACAUAACUCAUGCUUAAGUGGAAUCUUAAGUUUCACGAACACCUAAUUGAGUGAAGUGCAUUUAUCUUAUGUUUGAAACUGAGACUACCAUGAGAGCAUUAGGGGUGAGGGGAAGGAGGGAGAGAAAAAAUUGCUUGAAUUAAGUAUUCCAUUCUACUAAGUUGCUAAUGUCCUAGUUAGAACACCUGGGACCAGUUCAUCACUGGAUGGGUGUAACCCAAAACUGUGUAUUCUAUAGCCUUCCAUGCCAUCUCCCAGGAACUGUUAUCAAUAGACCAUUUACACCAUCUGCCCAGAGCACAGCCUGACUCCUCAGGCUACAAACUGGGUGUUAAGAGGCCUUUGAGAUAGGAGGAUGCUCCUGUCCUCACACCCAUAGUGGAACUCCCCGCCCUGAGGGAGGUACUGGGCAUUCCUGCCUGAACUGGAGGAUAUAUAAUCUUGGAGUCUUGGGACUUUUUUAACCACUCAUGGGAUUCAGAGGAAGACUGCAGACCACCAUUCUCAACCAGACUGCAACCAUCACUCUCGACUGCACUGCAAUCACCACUCUUGACCAGACUGCAACAGCACUCUCACUAACAGGUUUUUUCCCUCCCCUUUUGCUUUGGACUCAGGGGGCCCAAUGAACACCAUUUUGUUCAUGCCCCAGGGUGGUGGGUUAUAUGUUUGGGUUUUGUGGGUUAAAAACAACUGUUUGUCUGUAUAAUUGUAUUUAUUGUAUUAUUUUAUUAAAUUGUUAUUCUGACUUAUAAUCUCUCCUUUGAGUUGAGUUCAUUUCCCCUGCCCCUUCCUUUAAACCAGCACAGCUAAUACGCUAGAAGUUAAUUAGACUUUGUUCCUACAAGUAUUUCUGCAAAAUACAGUGGGUUUUUUUUUUUCUGAAUGAGCAAGAAACAAGGUUCUCUGUGCUUCUAGGAAAGUUAUAAAGUUUAACUCUGAAUAAAAUCUCUCUGAACACUAAUGUAUAAACACCUUUCACAAGAGACUGAGCAAACAUUUUCAUUAGUUUAUCACAGGAAUUUGGUCAGAGGGGAACUUUGUAGGCCAUGUGUUCCAACUGCCCACUUGCUAACCCUGGAUCAUACCAGCUCUUGUUUACCCUGGGUCAGCUCAGCUCUGCAUCUUCCAACUGGUCUGGUUCUACAAGAAGGGCCAGAAGGAGUAUCCAGGGAACUACAGGCUUGUUAGCCUGACCUUGUGGAAGAUCAUGGAGCAGAUCAUCAUCAGUGCCAUCAUGCAGGACAUACAGAAUAACCAAGGGAUCAGCCCGAGCCAGCAUGUGUUUGAGGAAGGCAGGUCCUGUUUGACCAACCUGAUCUCCUUCUAUGACAAGGUAACCCACUUUGUAGAUGAGGCUGAGGCUGUGGAUGUUGUCUGUCUGGACUUUAGUAAAUCCUUUGGCAUCAUUUCCCACAACAUUCUCCUGAAGGAACUGGCUUCCCAUGGUAUGGAUGGGUCCACUCUUCACUGGGUGAAAUCUGUCUGGAUGGCCCAGAGAGUGAUGGUGAACGGAGUUACAUCCAGCUGGCAGCUGGUCAGCGGCGGUGUUCCCCAGGGCUCAGGAUUGGGGCCAGCCUUGUUCAAUAUCUUUAUCAAUAACCUGGAUAAGAGGAUCCAGUGCAACCUCAGUAAGUUUACUGAUGACACCAACUUGGGCAGGAGUGUUGAUCUGCCAGAAGGCAGGAAGGCUCAGUGGAGAGAUAUGGAUAGGAUGGAUUGAUGGGCUGAGGGCAACAGUUCCAUAAGACAAAGUGCUGGGCCCUGCACUUGGGUCACAACAACCCCAUGCAGUGCUACAGUUUGGGGGCAGAGUGGCUGGAAAGCUGUCCAGAAGAAAAGGACAUAGGGGUGCUGGUUGACAGCCAGCAUUGUGUCCAGGCAGACAAAAAGCCAAUGGCAUCCUGGAUUGUAUGAGUAGUGUGGCCAGAAGGAUCAGGGAAGUGACUGUCCCCCUGUACUCAGCACUGGUGAGGCCACACCUUGAAACCUGUGUUCAGCUUUAGCCCCCUCAUGACAAGAAAGACACUGAGGUGCUGGAGCAUGUCCAGAAAAGGGCAGCAGAGCUGGUGAAGGCUCUGGAGCACAAGUCUUAUGAGGAGCAGCUGAGGGAACUAGGGAUGUUUCGGCUGGAGAAAAGGAGGCCGAGAGGAGACCUUAUCAUUCUCUACAACUGCCAGAAUAUUGUACUGAAGUGGGGUUCAGUCUCUUAUACCAGGCAACAAGUGACUGGACAAAAGGAAAUGGCCUCAAGUUGCACCAGGGGAGGUUUAGACUGGAUGUUAGGAAAAAAGUCUUCAUGGAAAGGGUGGUCAAGCACUGUAAUAGGCUGCCCAGGGAAGUGGUUGAGUUGCCAUCUCUGGAGGUAUUUAAAAGACACUUAGGGUCAUGCUUUAGUGGUGGACUUGGCAAUACUGGGUUAACAGUUGGACUUGAUCUUUAAUAUCAUUUCCAGCCUAAAUGAUUCUAUGAUCCUAGAAGACAUACUAUUCUUUAUUAGAAAUUUGCCUGCAUUAAAUAAGUGACUUAGUUCUGAAUCAUUUGCAACAAAUUUCUUGGCAUAUAUUUUAUGUUUUCUCUCUUAAGAGUAUGAUUUCUUUCUUCAUAACUUUGAGGGUUUGAUACCAUGCAUUUCUCAGAACAAAUGUUCCAGAUAAUUUGAUGUUAGUUGUUGUCAGGCGCAAAAUCCAGACUUAGUCCACCUUCCUCAAUAUCUACAAGCAUAUGGCAUGAUUGGAUUUCACCUACCUAAUGCAAAGACAAAAAAAGGAAAUUCUGGAAUGCACAUAUCCAUUGGUAAGAAGCUACUCUGUUCCAUGGGGGUUGUGCCAACUGACCACCAUGUUAUGGAUCAGUGCAAAGCACAGUUGUGAAGUAGAGUUAUUGGGCUAUGGAGUCUCCAACACUGCAGGUAUGGAAAAAGAAGUUAGACAAACAUUAGCCCCAAAUAACGUAGCUAUCGUUGAUCCCAUUUUGAGAGAAGUGAUAGACUGGAUGGUCACUUGAGGUUUCUUCUUCUAUAUUGCUUUUAUUAAUUCUUCUACAAUCCAAUCCAAAUUGUUAUUAUACUAAUAUCUGUGAGAGGAGAAGCUGAAACAGCAAGGCAAGAAUGGCAAUCAGAGUAAAAAAUUGCUAAAGAAAAAAGUCUGCUACCAUAGCUCAUCUGGCUGAGCAGACACUAAAGAUGUGACUGAUUUUUCUUUAGAGGCAUAUGGAAGGAAACAAGAAAAAACAUGGAAAAGAAAAAUAGAUUAUACAAGUUGCAUUAAUAAUCCAUUUUAUUUCACCAGCCAAAUUCAUAUUUCUUUAAAAAAAGAACAGUAGUAUAGCUAUGGUGAAAAUGUGCAUUUUGCUUGCUAUUCAAAAAGUGCCUUAUUGAAUUAAAUUUAUAAAUGAAAGAAACACUACAACAUCUAUCAGGUGGAUUCCCCAUAAAUCUUAAAUUGGCACACUCAAACAUAUAUUCCAAGUUAGAUGGAAUUAUAAUGAGAGCAGAGAAAGAUUUAGUAAGGUUAGAGAGUCAUAGAGAGUGGAAACAGUGCUGAAUGAGGAUGAUAACUGAGUACAGCAGGGUACCACACUGCUAAGACUUCAGUUUGAGCACGUUUCAGAGAGAACAAGAACAAAAGCACACAGUAAUUUAUGCAGUUGCUACAGUUAUUACAUAAGUACUCACUCAUUCAAAUAACAAAGAAAAAACCCAAAUUGGUGUUAUACUGGAAUAAAAGAUGAGUAAACACUUGUUGCAGAAAGGAUGCCUGACUAAGAAGUCCAAGCAUGAGCCAUAUGCAUACCCUCUGCAAGAGACCUCGGAAUACUGAUUAAAGGUAUAGUAUUUUAAAGUAUUGAUCAAAACAUUUAACAUUUUAUAUUAGGUCAAAGAAUGUUGCUUGAACACUCUGUUCACUACUUAUUUUUCAGGGAUCCCAAAGCAGGAAAUAGUUUGAAGAACUUCAGAAAUUUGGACCUCCUAACAGGUUACAGGAUAUUUUAUUGUAUUUGCGCUUUUCAAGGAAGAUUUGGAGCAUGUAGUUGGCAGCUGCUGGACUCUGUUCCAAGUUCUGCAAUAAAAAUAGUGGAGCCCAGUGAGAUCUUUAGCUGACUGCUUUGUCUUUAGAUGCCCACUUUAUGGUUACUUUAAUACUUUCAGAACAUAAUUCAUUAGAUUAAUUGACCAAGCAUUCAAUGAAGUUGUCCACAUAGGGACAUACAGUACUGUAUGAGAUGCCAGAGGAUGUCAAAGACAUCCUCUUGAAAAUGGGAGGUAAUACAGACAUUUGUAGGACUAUUGUACCUUGUACACUGAUGGAGCAGCAGCUGGAAGCAAGGCAAGAUACUCCAAGGCUGGACACCUCUGUACAACCAAUUUAAUUGAGUCCUACAUCUCUGUUGGUUAUGAGGGAAGCCUGGACACAUGGAUCACAUGGAGGCACUGAGAGUGAGUACGUAAGUGUACAUCUGCAAUGAGAAUGCAAAUCCUACUGCAGACUUUUAAAUUGGCAACAAUGCCAUUCUGAAAACUUCAUGGCACUUGCCUUCUUUUUCAAAAGUCCCGAAGAUCUGCAACUCUAGGUGUCUAAGCAGCUGAAAAAUAUCCAGAUUCUGAGUCAAAAGUAUAAGAAAGUAUAACAAAGUAUCUGGAAAUACAAGGAAGAUUAAGGCAAUCAUUCCCAUGAAGUGGAGAAUGCUCAAGAGAGAGACUGUCAAAAGGAGCCAUGGCCUUUUCAGGACAGCAUCUUUUUCUCUGGAAAUACAGGAAAAUUUCUUUGCAAUUACUUGAUAAAAAUUUCUGAUCUCUCUGCUAUACAACUGGCAUUUCAUUAUUUCUCUGUUCACUUCAGUAGGAGCUGCAGGGCUUCCAGAGGUAUUGAAAAUAAGGCAAUGGAUGUAAAUUCUAAAUAUGGAUUUAGUAAUCUAAUUUAGAGAUCAAAAACAAUACUAAGUCUUUCUACAGGUGUUAGUUACUCUUUAUGCAUGCCCAUUCUGCCAUAGUAUGCCCACAGUAUAUGGGCUAAGUCUAUUGUAUUAUACAAUUAAUAAUAAAAUAAGCCAUCUUGUUCAUUAGUCAGGUAAAGAAUUUAUUGUUUGAGCAUUUAAAAUCUCUUUUAUUGUGAACACUAAGAGUUUAUGUAGCUUGGUAUUCAAGUAAUUGUGUACAAGAAUAUGAAAAGUUUAUGUGCAAGUCACUUUUUGAUGUCAAGAAAAUAAUUUCUAGCUGUUAAAAGCAAAGCACAAUAGUUUAUAUUUACAGGGGGGGAAAAAAAAGAUGAGUUAAUCUCUUUGUCACAGCGAGAACCCUCUAUACAGAACUUUCCAUUGUCUCUCCUAGGAAAAACUGAACUGUCAUUUUAAUGGAUUUAGAUAUAAUCUAUUUUUAGGAAAUAAUUUUUUCCUUUUUUCUUUUUUUAGUCAAAAAUUGCACAGGUAUUCAGAUAUCUCUGUUGUUUUCUGACAGUGUUAUAUGGUAUCAUCCUCCAUAAUAUAAUGCUUAAAAUCCAUUGGCAUUAAAAUGUUCAUGAUUUGCCUAAGAUGAGCUGUGUUUUAUAAGACAUGUAGUAAUUUUCUUAAAUGUCAUGAUGCUUCAGUUCAGUGUAGUAUAACCUCAUGCUUUUUAUAACAAGUGUAGCACAAUGUAUUUUUUUCUGGCAUGCUAAUCUGACAGGCAGUGAUGACACUGAUAAGCAUUCUAAGCUUCUUGUUUUUGUUCCAGAUCUCACUUUGGAUUCAUACUUCUAUCAUUUAUGUGUUUAUAUCCAAAAGAAGGAGAAAAAACACAGAAGAGUGAAAAACAAAGUCACAUGCCAUGUACACCUUUUGCAAUCAACCAUGCUCAUUCCAUGCUGUCAAGGCCAGCAUUUAUCUACAGCAGACUGGCAAAUUGAGUGGUUACUCACAUGAUGUAUAAUUUUUUUAAUCUUUUUUUUUUUAAAAAAGGAGAUUCUAUUCAAUAAAAAGUAUGGAAUAUUACCAGUUGGGUCUUGUGUUUCUCUGGAUGGUUGCAUAACACAAAAUGAGCAGUAAGGAUUGCACAGUGUAAACUUAAAAUUGAAGCAUUCCUGGAAUGUUAAAAUAUGUUUCCAGUGUUGAAAUUCCAUCUCUCAGGCGUCAGAAUAUUUGUGUGAGCUAUUUCAGUGGAAACAUCUCUUUUUCUUAAGCAAAUCAAUUCCAUUGUAGCCAUCAAGAUAAAGAUAUGCAUGCUCUGUUUAGCUGUAGCACACUUACUAGCCAACAAAUAUUCAUCUCUGCCAAAAUGUGUAAAAUGUAAAAUGUGUUUGCCAAAACAAAAUGAACUGUGAGCAAACAAGUGAGAAAACCCACACAGCAAAAUGCUGCAAGUUGAAUGCAUUCACAGAGAGCAGACAUUUCAUUUGCAGGAUAUCAGCAACGUGCAGCUUUUCAUUUCAUACCAUAUAUGGUUCCAGUUAUUUAGAACACUCAAAGUUAUGCUGUAAGUCUUAAAUGUGUACAUACAACCCUGAAAGGGACUAAAACUGCUGUUGUACUUGUCCUAUUCCCUUCUUUAUUGCUGAGAAGCUGGUUUUACUGAGGAUUAGUGCAUUGCUUCAGCCCUUUCACACUUUGUGAACUCUUGAGGGACCAUAAGUUCUACAGCAAACUGGAUAAAAAAGUUGUAAAUGGCCCUUGCUAAGGCAUGAAGGAGGUUCAUUGGAUGACUGGUUGUGUUGCAGAGCGAGGACCAUUGCUUUGGACAUGUUUUCAUGGAAAGUACAUUGCUCUUUUAUUAUUUUUGUCUGUUAUUAUUGAAGAACUUGGUUCCCACAAAGCAAAGCUGACUUUUCUGAAUAUGCUACCUCUGAAAUUAUCAUUUAUACUGAAAACUCUCUGUCAUCAUAUUUAUAUUUCUUUGUA
Molecule: long non-coding RNA, 8058 nt
Organism: Pseudopipra pipra
Lineage: Eukaryota; Metazoa; Chordata; Aves; Passeriformes; Pipridae
Exons: 2
Source: RefSeq, a predicted model, not a curated record